GUGAGUGUAGCUCAGUCGGCAGAGCACCAGGUUGUGGCCCUGGGUGUCGUGGGUUCAAUCCCCAUCACUCACCCCA
Molecule: transfer RNA, 76 nt
Filed under: Deltaproteobacteria bacterium
Lineage: Bacteria; Pseudomonadati; Myxococcota; Myxococcia
Description: tRNA-His
Rfam family: tRNA
About the family: Transfer RNA (tRNA) molecules are approximately 80 nucleotides in length. Their secondary structure includes four short double-helical elements and three loops (D, anti-codon, and T loops).
Source: RNAcentral